GAAGUAAAAGUCGUAACAAGGUCUCCGUUGGUGAACCAGCGGAGGGAUCAUUACAGAGUUACUACUCCAAACCCAUUGUGAACCUUACCUAUGUUCUGUUGCCUCGGCGGCGUGGUCAGCGCCCCCUCUGAAAAGAGGACGAUGCCCUCCCGCCGGCAGCACCAAACUCUUUGAAUUUUACAGCGGAUUACAGUUCUGAUUUGAAAACAAAAAACAAGUUAAAACUUUCAACAACGGAUCUCUUGGUUCUGGCAUCGAUGAAGAACGCAGCGAAAUGCGAUAAGUAAUGUGAAUUGCAGAAUUCAGUGAAUCAUCGAAUCUUUGAACGCACAUUGCGCCCGGCAGUAAUCUGCCGGGCAUGCCUGUCCGAGCGUCAUUUCAACCCUCGAACCUCCGUUUCCUCAGGGAAGCUCAGGGUCGGUGUUGGGGCUCUACGGCGAGUCUUCGCGACCCUCCGUAGGCCCUGAAAUACAGUGGCGGUCCCGCCGCGGUUGCCUUCUGCGUAGUAAGUCUCUUUUGCAAGCUCGCAUUGGGUCCCGGCGGAGGCCUGCCGUCAAACCACCUAUAACUCCAGAUGGUUUGACCUCGGAUCAGGUAGGGUUACCCGCUGAACUUAAGCAUAUCAAUAAGCGGAGGAA
RNAcentral lists this unclassified non-coding RNA (638 nucleotides) under Scedosporium boydii. Its description in RNAcentral is "sequence contains 18S rRNA gene, ITS1, 5.8S rRNA gene, ITS2, 28S rRNA gene". The stretch from base 223 to 376 matches the Rfam family "5.8S ribosomal RNA". Lineage: Eukaryota; Fungi; Ascomycota; Sordariomycetes; Microascales; Microascaceae. The record is from RNAcentral.